UUAAUUUGCAUUGCUGUGAGUCAGGAGUGAGACCUUGUUUCAGCUUUGUCAUUUUCAAGCUGUUGUGGGUUCAUAAACUUUUUCUUAAUUGAUUCUUUUAAAGGUAGAAAGCUAAAAUAUUGAAAAAGUACUUGAAUACUUGGCUGUUUAGAUGCUCCUUUUCUGCCUUCCAAGUUGAUGUAACCUUUGGUGUUUUGCCGUCAACUUUAUGAUGUAAAUGGCUCUAAUUAACAAUGUUAUUACAGGCUGAUUUAUCCAUCAUAGAUUUGCUUGAGGAUGAUACAAGGAAGCUUUUAGAAAAUGCACCAUUCUGUUCUGUCUUUUCUUCUAUUGGUUUAAUCCGUAGACAGCAUGGCAAAAAUGGAUAUCUUAUCAAUUGAAGAUUAUGCUUCUUUUUUUUUUUCUCUCAAUCUUUUUUUUUUCCUAUCAUUCUCUUCCUCCCUUCCUUUUAAUUGUAAGAUUGAUAACUAAGUGUUGCGCACGGUCAUAUAUGAGAUGGUUUCCUGAAAUUGAACAAAUCUGGAGUGGCUUGUGCAACUAUUAAUUUGAAUGCAUUGUGCUUUUGAGCCAAUGCUCAAAUAUGUGUCUUGUUGUAUAGGCUUUUGAUGUUUGCACUAUUUGCUUCUUUUUAUUUUUGAAUUUUGCUCUAUUCAUGUUGAAUUGCUCUUUUGCAUGCAGAAGGAAUCACCACUGGGGCUUG
Molecule: unclassified non-coding RNA, 700 nt
Filed under: Hevea brasiliensis (rubber tree)
Lineage: Eukaryota; Viridiplantae; Streptophyta; Magnoliopsida; Malpighiales; Euphorbiaceae
Source: RNAcentral